This 366-nucleotide ribosomal RNA is filed under the name uncultured eukaryote. Its description in RNAcentral is "partial 18S ribosomal RNA". It matches the Rfam family "Eukaryotic small subunit ribosomal RNA", at positions 592 to 976 of the family's 1831-position model. The record is from RNAcentral.
CAAUAGCGUAUAUUAACGUUGUUGCAGUUAAAAAGCUCGUAGUUGGAUUUCUGGAGGGAGCGUCGGCCCGUAUUUACGAGUGCGUGACGUCUCUGUCCAUCCUUGCGGGAAGGCACGGCAUUGAUUUGUUGUGUCGGAUCGCAUCAUUUACUGUGAAAAAAUUAGAGUGUUCAAAGCAGGCUUUCGCUUGAAUACAUUAGCAUGGAAUAAUAAGAUAGGACUUUGGUGCUAUUUUGUUGGUUGAGCCUAAAGUAAUGAUUAAUAGGGAUAGUUGGGGGCACCUAUAUUGCGUUGUCAGAGGUGAAAUUCUUGGAUUUACGCAAGACAAACAGCUGCGAAAGCGUCUGCCAAGGAUGUUUUCAUUAA